This 522-nucleotide ribosomal RNA is filed under the name Pseudo-nitzschia multistriata. RNAcentral describes it as "eukaryotic LSU rRNA". It matches the Rfam family "Eukaryotic large subunit ribosomal RNA", at positions 32 to 569 of the family's 3401-position model. The record is from RNAcentral. Lineage: Eukaryota; Bacillariophyta; Bacillariophyceae; Bacillariales; Bacillariaceae.
GAUUAAGCAUAUAAUUAAGCGGAGGAAAAGAAACUAACUAGGAUUCCCUCAGUAACGGCGAGUGAAGCGGGACUAGCUCAGGAUGUGAAUCUGCGCUUUUAUGGCGCCGAAUUGUGGUCUGUAGACUUUGACAUUAUCUGCCGGGCCAAGUUCCUUGGAAAAGGACAGCUGAGAGGGUGAGACUCCCGUCCGCCUGGUGGAGUGAGUCAUUUGUCAACGAGUCGAGUUGUUUGGGAUUGCAGCUCUAAUUUGGUGGUAAAUUCCAUCUAAAGCUAAAUAUUGGUGGGAGACCGAUAGCGUACAAGUACCGUGAGGGAAAGAUGCAAAGAACUUUGAAAAGAGAGUUAAAGAGUACCUGAAACUGCUGAAACGGAAGCGAAGGAAACCAGUGUUUGUUGGUUCAUAUUUCCCCGGCCACUUGUGGCUUGGGCGCUGUGAGCUUUCGUGAGUUUGGGUUGGUUGAUCCCUUUGGAAGAGCGCAGUCAGAGUUGAUGUCUGUUGCUAGCACUGGGUUUGACUGAC